GACGGAGGGUGCUAGCGUUGUUCGGAAUUACGGGGCGUAAAGGGCGCGUCGGCGGCCUGGUCAGUCGGGUGUGAAAGCCCGGGGCUCAACCCCGGAACGGCACCCGAGACGGUCAGGCUGGAGACCGGGAGAGGAGGGUGGAAUAGCCAGUGUAGAGGUGAAAUUCGUAGAUAUUGGCUGGAACACCCGUGGCGAAAGCGGCUCUCUGGCCCGGUUCUGACGCUGAGGCGCGAAAGCGUGGGGAGCAAACAGG
Molecule: ribosomal RNA, 253 nt
Filed under: uncultured bacterium
Lineage: Bacteria
Description: partial 16S ribosomal RNA
Rfam family: Bacterial small subunit ribosomal RNA
Source: RNAcentral